RNAcentral lists this ribosomal RNA (451 nucleotides) under uncultured bacterium. RNAcentral describes it as "partial 16S ribosomal RNA". It matches the Rfam family "Bacterial small subunit ribosomal RNA", at positions 28 to 507 of the family's 1533-position model. The record is from RNAcentral.
GAUGAACGCUGGCGGCGUGCCUAACACAUGCAAGUCGAGCGGCAGCGAGGGGUGCUUGCACCCUGUCGGCGAGCGGCGGACGGCUGAGUAACGCGUGGGAACGUGCCCCAAAGUGAGGAAUAACUGCCCGAAAGGGUAGCUAAUACCGCAUAUUAUCUUCGGAUCAAAGGAUUUAUCCGCUUUGGGAGCGGCUCGCGUCGGAUUAGGUAGUUGGUGAGGUAAUGGCUCACCAAGCCGACGAUCCGUAGCUGGUCUGAGAGGAUGACCAGCCAGACUGGAACUGAGACACGGUCCAGACUCCUACGGGAGGCAGCAGUGAGGAAUUUUCCACAAUGGGCGAAAGCCUGAUGGAGCAACGCCGCGUGCAGGACGAAGGCCUUCGGGUUGUAAACUGCUUUUAUAAGUGAGGAAUAUGACGGUAACUUAUGAAUAAGGAUCGGCUAACUACGUG